UCUGAACGGAAGCAACGCCGCGUGAGUGAUGAAGGUUUUCGGAUCGUAAAACUCUGUUGUUAGGGAAGAACAAGUACCGUUCGAAUAGGGCGGCACCUUGACGGUACCUAACCAGAAAGCCACGGCUAACUACGUGCCAGCAGCCGCGGUAAUACGUAGGUGGCAAGCGUUGUCCGGAAUUAUUGGGCGUAAAGCGCGCGCAGGCGGUUUCUUAAGUCUGAUGUGAAAGCCCCCGGCUCAACCGGGGAGGGUCAUUGGAAACUGGGGAACUUGAGUGCAGAAGAGGAGAGUGGAAUUCCACGUGUAGCGGUGAAAUGCGUAGAGAUGUGGAGGAACACCAGUGGCGAAGGCGACUCUCUGGUCUGUAACUGACGCUGAGGCGCGAAAGCGUGGGGAGCGAACAGGAUUAGAUACCCGGGUAGUCAA
This 426-nucleotide ribosomal RNA is filed under the name Bacillus licheniformis. RNAcentral's name for it is "bacterial SSU rRNA". It matches the Rfam family "Bacterial small subunit ribosomal RNA", at positions 382 to 797 of the family's 1533-position model. The record is from RNAcentral. Lineage: Bacteria; Bacillati; Bacillota; Bacilli; Caryophanales; Bacillaceae.